AUUGAGCGCUGGCGGCAGGCCUAACACAUGCAAUUCGAGCGGAUGAAGGGAGCUUGCUCCUGGAUUCAGCGGCGGACGGGUGAGUAAUGCCUAGGAAUCUGCCUGGUAGUGGGGGAUAACGUCCGGAAACGGGCGCUAAUACCGCAUACGUCCUGAGGGAGAAAGUGGGGGAUCUUCGGGCCUCACGCUAUCAGAUGAGCCUAGGUCGGAUUAGCUAGUUGGUGGGGUAAAGGCCUACCAAGGCGACGAUCCGUAACUGGUCUGAGAGGAUGAUCAGUCACACUGGAACUGAGACACGGUCCAGACUCCUACGGGAGGCAGCAGUGGGGAAUAUUGGACAAUGGGCGAAAGCCUGAUCCAGCCAUGCCGCGUGUGUGAAGAAGGUCUUCGGAUUGUAAAGCACUUUAAGUUGGGAGGAAGGGCAGUAAGUUAAUACCUUGCUGUUUUGACGUUACCAACAGAAUAAGCACCGGCUAACUUCGUG
RNAcentral lists this ribosomal RNA (484 nucleotides) under uncultured bacterium. RNAcentral's name for it is "partial 16S ribosomal RNA". It matches the Rfam family "Bacterial small subunit ribosomal RNA", at positions 30 to 507 of the family's 1533-position model. The record is from RNAcentral.